RNAcentral lists this ribosomal RNA (699 nucleotides) under bacterium SVAL2.3. RNAcentral's name for it is "bacterial SSU rRNA". It matches the Rfam family "Bacterial small subunit ribosomal RNA", at positions 56 to 747 of the family's 1533-position model. The record is from RNAcentral.
UGCAGUCGAGCGGUAGCACAGAGAGCUUGCUCUUGGGUGACGAGCGGCGGACGGGUGAGUAACGCGUAGAAAUCUGCCUGGUAGUUGGGGAUAGCCCGGAGAAAUCCGGAUUAAUACCGAAUGUGCUCUUAGGAGGAAAGCGGGGGAUCUUCGGACCUCGCGCUACCAGAUGAGUCUGCGUAGGAUUAGCUAGUUGGUGGGGUAAAGGCUCACCAAGGCGACGAUCCUUAGCUGGUCUGAGAGGAUGAUCAGCCACACUGGGACUGAGACACGGCCCAGACUCCUACGGGAGGCAGCAGUGGGGAAUAUUGGACAAUGGGGGCAACCCUGAUCCAGCCAUGCCGCGUGUGUGAAGAAGGCCUUCGGGUUGUAAAGCACUUUCAGUGGUGAGGAAGGGUGUUGUGUUAAUAGCGCAACACAUUGACGUUAGCCACAGAAGAAGCACCGGCUAACUCCGUGCCAGCAGCCGCGGUAAUACGGAGGGUGCAAGCGUUAAUCGGAAUUACUGGGCGUAAAGCGCGCGUAGGCGGUUUGUUAAGUGAGAUGUGAAAGCCCCGGGCUCAACCUGGGAAUUGCAUCUUAUACUGGCAGGCUAGAGUAUGGUAGAGGUGGGUAGAAUUCCUGGUGUAGCGGUGAAAUGCGUAGAGAUCAGGAGGAAUACCGGUGGCGAAGGCGGCCCACUGGACCAAUACUGACGCU